This 253-nucleotide ribosomal RNA is filed under the name uncultured bacterium. Its description in RNAcentral is "partial 16S ribosomal RNA". It matches the Rfam family "Bacterial small subunit ribosomal RNA", at positions 524 to 776 of the family's 1533-position model. The record is from RNAcentral.
UACGUAGGGGGCGAGCGUUAUCCGGAUUCACUGGGUGUAAAGGGAGCGUAGACGGCCAUGCAAGCCAGGGGUGAAAACCCGGGGCCCAACCCCGGGACUGCCCUUGGAACUGCAUGGCUGGAGUGCGGGAGGGGCAGGCGGAAUUCCUGGUGUAGCGGUGAAAUGCGUAGAUAUCAGGAGGAACACCGGCGGCGAAGGCGGCCUGCUGGACUGCGACUGACGUUGAGGCUCGAAAGCGUGGGGAGCGAACAGG